This 255-nucleotide ribosomal RNA is filed under the name uncultured bacterium. Its description in RNAcentral is "partial 16S ribosomal RNA". It matches the Rfam family "Bacterial small subunit ribosomal RNA", at positions 524 to 776 of the family's 1533-position model. The record is from RNAcentral.
UACGUAGGGUCGAGCGUUUGUCCGGAAUUAUUGGGCGUAAAGAGCUCGUAGGCGGUGUGUCACGUCGGCCGUGAAAACCUGCAGCUUAACUGUGGGCGUGCGGUCGAUACGGGCAUCACUGGAGUUCGGCAGGGGAGACUGGAAUUCCUGGUGUAGCGGUGAAAUGCGCAGAUAUCAGGAGGAACACCGGUGGCGAAGGCGGGGUCUCUGGGCCGAUACUGACGCUGAGGAGCGAAAGCGUGGGGAGCAAACAGG